AUGCGCAUGGCAAAGAGCGGCCGACACCGAGGAGUGACGUCGCGCCAGCCAGCCGCGGUGGCGUCCCACGGAACUACGGAAGGUCCUGCACCGCACCAGCGAGGUGACCGCCUGAUGUACAGGCUCGGGACGAUGACGCUGAUGGGGUUCGGCAUGCAUUAUCGCUGUCAUCGGCUAUCUAGUGCUCUAUCAGAAUCCAGAAGGCAAGGCCCAACACUACGGCCACAGAGGUCGCCGACGUGGACAUCGGACACGGCAGCGACCCAGUGGAGGUCGCGAGGUGGCCGACUGCCGCACAGGGCUGCUGGGACGAUGGCGUUGAUGGGGUUCGGCAUCAUCGUCGUCAUCGGCUAUUUGGUGAUGUACAAGAAGGCGCGAGGCCCAGCCGCCAGCCCUAUGCCAUGGAGGUUGCCAAGGUCGCUGUCGGGCACGGCGACCCUGCCGUCGGCCUCCUAG
This 456-nucleotide ribosomal RNA is filed under the name Triticum aestivum (bread wheat). RNAcentral's name for it is "partial small subunit ribosomal RNA". The record is from RNAcentral. Lineage: Eukaryota; Viridiplantae; Streptophyta; Magnoliopsida; Poales; Poaceae.